GAUGAACGCUGGCGGCGUGCCUAAUACAUGCAAGUCGAGCGAACAGAUGAGGAGCUUGCUCCUCUGACGUUAGCGGCGGACGGGUGAGUAACACGUGGUUAACCUACCUAUAAGACUGGGAUAACUUCGGGAAACCGGAGCUAAUACCGGAUAAUAUAUUGAACCGCAUGGUUCAAUAGUGAAAGACGGUUUUGCUGUCACUUAUAGAUGGAUCCGCGCCGCAUUAGCUAGUUGGUAAGGUAACGGCUUACCAAGGCAACGAUGCGUAGCCGACCUGAGAGGGUGAUCGGCCACACUGGAACUGAGACAUGGUCCAGACUCCUACGGGAGGCAGCAGUAGGGAAUCUUCCGCAAUGGGCGAAAGCUUGACGGAGCAACGCCGCGUGAGUGAUGAAGGUCUUCGGAUCGUAAAACUCUGUUAUUAGGGAAGAACAAAUGUGUAAGUAACUAUGCACGUCUUGACGGUACCUAAUCAGAAAGCCACGGCUAACUACGUG
RNAcentral lists this ribosomal RNA (497 nucleotides) under uncultured bacterium. Its description in RNAcentral is "partial 16S ribosomal RNA". It matches the Rfam family "Bacterial small subunit ribosomal RNA", at positions 28 to 507 of the family's 1533-position model. The record is from RNAcentral.